GGACACGUGAAACCCUGUGGGAAGCAGGAGGGACCACCCUCCAAGGCUAAAUACUACCUAGUGACCGAUAGCGUAUAGUACCGUGAGGGAAAGGUGAAAAGAACCCCGGGAGGGGAGUGAAAUAGAACCUGAAACCCUGCACUUACAAGCUGUGGAAGCACAUUUCUUGUGUGACCGCGUACUUUUUGUAGAACGGGCCAACGAGUUACGUUAAGUAGCAAG
RNAcentral lists this ribosomal RNA (222 nucleotides) under Clostridioides difficile. Its description in RNAcentral is "partial 23S ribosomal RNA". It matches the Rfam family "Bacterial large subunit ribosomal RNA", at positions 420 to 644 of the family's 2925-position model. The record is from RNAcentral. Lineage: Bacteria; Bacillati; Bacillota; Clostridia; Peptostreptococcales; Peptostreptococcaceae.